GGGCCCUAUCUUCUCCACCAACAAAUGAGUGGACUCCAUCCCCGGCCUGCACCACCCCACAGCCAUCAUCUCCCACAAUGUCGAGCAGGCUAGUGAGGCUCGAGGUGGGUCCCUCCUCAUUCGAAGGUGACAAAGGAUUCAUGAUAACCAUUAGGAGAGUAUAGAGGGACGACUCUGCUCUCCAGAACCACCAGCUCACAGGCAAGUUGGUGAAUAUGAUCUUGUUACCAGCUGAU
RNAcentral lists this long non-coding RNA (236 nucleotides) under Elaeis guineensis (African oil palm). RNAcentral describes it as "long non-coding RNA (EGUI_LNC037158)". The record is from RNAcentral. Lineage: Eukaryota; Viridiplantae; Streptophyta; Magnoliopsida; Arecales; Arecaceae.